Molecule: RNA transcript, 2852 nt
Organism: Odocoileus virginianus texanus
Lineage: Eukaryota; Metazoa; Chordata; Mammalia; Artiodactyla; Cervidae
Gene: CAGE1
Gene name: cancer antigen 1
Source: RefSeq, a predicted model, not a curated record
CUCGGCGGCCGCGGCUGGGUGGACGUCACACAGGGGCGUUCCAGCGUGUCCGCACCGGCGGCCCGGCGUUGAAGAAAAAGGUUGAAAGCGUUCUCCCCACGGUAGAGCCCAGUACGCAGGGAGGAAGCCCGAAAUCCUUAUUUCAGAUCCGAGCCUCUAUGGACCCUGGAAAUGUCAACAUUGGAAAUUACUCACAGAAUGUACUCACUCAGCCAAUUGACACCAGCAUUUCUUCCUUGAGAAAAUUUGAACCCCUUUGCCAGUUUCAUCAGACAGAAUCAUUUAAUAAUGAAAUAGCAGUUCAAGAUCUGACGGAAAGCUUAUCUUAUACAGAGGAGCCAGCAUUGCAGCAUUAUGUAUGUGAUUAUGCAGAAGACACCAAUAUACAGGAAGACCCAUUUAAGGAAGAAAACCCAAUGGGAACUAGCACUUUCACACAUACAGAUCAAUUUGCUCUUGAGUGUGUCAGACAGCCUUCUAGAAGCCCACCUCUAAUCCACUGCAGUGAAGAGACACUGAAAUUCAUGGAAAUGCCACUUGCUAAUAGUACUGCCACAGAAUCUGCCCUCAAUUCUAGUCAGUCUCAAGACUUCUUGUGUGAGGAAGAAGUACACAGUGAUGUUGAACAACCAUUGUAUAAAGAAAAUCUGAGAGCUAAUUAUGAAACAGAGGAGAUUGCAGGUUCUUCCAAAGGAGUACAGAAUUCUAUGGAUAUUCCUGAGAUGUCAGUCAGGCACCAAAAGGAAGUCCCAGAAAAAGGCAGGUGGAGUCCACAGAUGGUCUCAACUUGGGCUCCUGCAGGCGUUUGUUGGAGUGGUGGAGCAUCUCAGGAGGCCUGCAUGACACCUGAUGCAGAGCAGAGCUUGGAAAGCUUACAACCUCUGGAAGAGGACAUGGCUUUAAAUGAAGUCCUACAGAAAUUAAAACGUACCAACAAAGAACAGGAAACUCGGAUCCAAGACCUAGAGCGUUGUAACUCGUAUUUAGAGAAGAAGGUUGAAGAACUACAGAUGACUACGACUAAACAGCACGUGUUUGUGGACAUCAUUAAUAAGCUAAAGGAGAAGAUCGAAGAGUUAAUUGAAGAAAAGUACAGAAUAAAGCUAGAGAAGAGUGAUACAGAGAAGACACUCCAGGGUGUGCAUGAGAUUUUAGUUACCACCCAAAACCACCUUCAGGAAUACCAGAGUGAAAAGGAAACCUUACAGUUAGAGUUUAAGAAACUCAAGGGCAAUUAUGUGAGUCUACAGGAAAGGUACAUGACUCAGUGCAUGGAGAUGGACAGUGCCUUGAGCAAGAAAGAAGAAGAGAUAGAGAGACUGCAGCAACUCAGAGGAGAACUGGAAAAGGCCACCAUUGCCGCUCUGGACUUGCUGAAAAGGGAGAGGGAGACCAGAGAGCAAGAGUUCCUGUCUUUACGAGAGGAAUUUCAGAAAUGUGAAAGGGAACACCUGGAUGAAAGAGAGAAAUUGAAAUCUAAACUUGAGAAAUUGGUCGCUCAGGUUCAGAAUGUACAAUUCCUAUCCAACGGUGAAAAGGCUAAGAAUGCAGAACUCCAGCAGCAGAUCAACAAAGUAAAAAAUGAAAACACAAAACUUCAGCAGCAGGUUGCAAGGAAUGAGGAGCAAAAUUGUGUCCCUAAAUGUGAGAUAGCUGGACUCAAGGAUAACUUAGAGGAUGUAAUAGAGUCAGAUGUGGCCAAGGAUGCAAAGAUGACACAUUCUAAUUUGUCCCCGAAUCACUCACCUUGUGAAGAAGGGAGCGCAAACCCCCCAGACAUGAAAAGAACUUCACAGCCGACGUCCAGAAGUCUCAGUCUUCUGGAUCUGAUGGUAGAACUUCUCCCACAACAGGACAUCAUCAAUCCUGAUGCUGAACAUUUCAAAGAGAAUGAGAAAGUUAGUGAUGAUAUGCCACAUAAAUUGAAGAGCUUUCAUCUUAAAAAGAAAAUUUUAGAUAAAGAGCUACUGAAACAUAAAGACAAAAUUGCAGCUUUCAGAGAGUUACUUGCUAAUGAAAAAUCAUUUCAACAUCAGGUUCCUCAGGUUACAGAAUUUGACUCCAAGGAAGCCAAGAAUGUCAGAGACGUGCCUGUGGUACUGGGAGCCAAACUGAACCAGUACCACAACCUAAACAAGGAGCUUGAUUUUUUGAUUGCAAAAUUGGAAAAUCUUCUAGAGACAAGAGAAGACCACUGCAACAGACUCACUGAAGAAAAUGACAAGUAUCAAAGACAUUUAGGCAACUUAAUAAAUAAGCUAAUGUUUCCCAAGGUUACAUCUUAUGAGGAGAUUAUCAAAUGUGCUGACCAAAGACUUGUGAUAUCCCACUCCCGGAUUGCACAUUGUUUCUUCUUUCAGUUUAGAAGAGAGAAAUAAACAGUUGGAAGAUUUAGUUAGAAGGUCCAGAGAGAGAGUCAGAAAACCAGGAGGACUCUCAACUCUCAGUAUUCUCUGCUCCAGCCUGUAUGCACAAACCCUGAGGGGUUGAUGAGGACCAGCGGAGGAUGUUAACAUAGAACUCUCUUGUCCAGCUCCUAAGAUGCUAAUUAAACAGUUACCAGUUCUCUAUUUUAAUCCUCCCCACCACCCCCACUUGUUUUUGUUUUGUUUGACAUUAUUCUCUUUCUGUUUCCUGCAGACCGAGAAGUCAGCUAAAGCUCCUGACCGCGAUGCCAGUUAUUUUAGAAGGAAAUAGAAAUGCUUUCGAUUAAACAGAACUGAAGAUUAACAGUUAACCAUUUUUGUCAGCCUCUCCAGGAGCAGUCAUUACUCAGUGCUUGUACCCAGAUCCACCCACACAAAUGAUACAUUAAAAUCUGUGUAAGUAGUGAAACCUUACAAUCCAAAAAA